AAUUGAAUGAUGACAAAAUAAUUUGGUUUUCCUCAACAAAUUUAAAACAAUCAUGGGUAUGAGUGUAUUGGUUCUUUUAUGGAGCUCUCUUUGAAGUGAGAAUGUACUCUUCUUUGAGCUUUCAAGACUGUCAAAAUUGAGAUGAGACAAUGGUUCGAAGUCUGCGUCUGCAUAUAUAAAUUAUAAUUAAAUCAAUUUGACUUGGCCAAGUAUACCAAGGAACUUGUAUCAGCUUUGCUCAGGUGAGCCAGACACUCAAGUUUUGACCUUGGAUUAGGCGAAUGACUUUUGGAAAUUCCGAAGUAGAUUGGUGUAGUUCAUCGUACCAUACUCCUAUACUGGAUGGAAAUCACUUUUACUCUACAGCUGUUGCUUUCAGUAUAGCAGAUACAUGCAUUCUUCUUUUCAGUUGGGUAAUAGUAAGGCAGGUUGGUUUUCAAACAGAAAUUACCUUGCCAGUUUGUGUGUGCAUUCAUUGAGGAUUGUCAUCAAUUCAUUAUUGUGGUCGUGCCAAGCUUAUCCUUUACCACGGCUGUCUCUGCUUUGUGUUUGAAAGUUUUAUGAAGAUGGAUGAAACCCACCUUGGCUCCUGUGUUCCUCGGGUCCUUUGAUGAAUAGGUCAAUGUGAAAUAUUUGACUGCUUGUAUAACAUCAUUUGACAUUAUGUGAUCUGCAGUUUGAUUUUGUCAGAAAAUAAGUUUCAUGUAGUUCUGAGCACUGUGAAUGGGCUUGCUGCAGUGUUGCUCUCUCUCUGCUCCAUCCUGAUUCUGUUAGUGAAGAGGUGUUCUUCUGAUAUAAAUGGAAUCAUUCCUCGUCAUCUUGAUUUCAUAUUAAUUCAGGAGACUGACUGUGUGAUAGGAUAGUUAAAUGAUCUUCGAUUAUGUGCUGGUCAGAGGUUGUGGAUCACAUUUCAUAAAAGUCUCUUACCUUUGUGGUACCUGAUUGGAGAAAGUAGCACAUAACAAGCCUGGAUUUGUCUCUCCACUCUUAUGAUACUUCUGGAUUAAAUGCCAAAGUGGUUCAAGAAAACCACUGGUUCCCGACUUCAGACUGACAAUGAAGUUGAAAUUGAGAGAACACGAAUGGGCUGCAUAUACAUUCAUCAUGAAAUCAAUAUUUGCCUUUAUAAAGCAUGCGUAGGAAACAUGAAAUAAGUCUGCAAUUGCGUCGACCACAGCUUCUCUUGUGAGCUACACAUUUAAGUUUUGACCUUGAAAUGGACGAAAAAUCUUCUGCAUGGAAUCGCUGGAUGGAGAGAAGCAACAUUGCAAGACGGAGGAUACCACCACACUCAGCGAAAUAACACCUAAUUCAUGGCAAAAUCUGUUUAACUUACAACAUCCUUCAUACAUGGAAAAAUGUUCAAAAGGGUCCGUCAACAAGCAGCUGUAGGAAGCAAGAAGUGUUUCUCAUCACAAGU
This is a long non-coding RNA of Frankliniella occidentalis (western flower thrips), 1420 nucleotides long. RefSeq lists it as uncharacterized. The transcript has 9 exons. NCBI's taxonomy places the organism in Eukaryota, Metazoa, Arthropoda, Insecta, Thysanoptera, Thripidae. The record is from RefSeq and is a predicted model, not a curated record.